Long non-coding RNA from Pocillopora verrucosa, 630 nucleotides. RefSeq lists it as uncharacterized. The record is from RefSeq and is a predicted model, not a curated record. NCBI's taxonomy places the organism in Eukaryota, Metazoa, Cnidaria, Anthozoa, Scleractinia, Pocilloporidae.
GACAAACAAGACGCCUCAGAAGUGGUAUUUAUAGACCUCAACUGAAGGUUUGAAACCAUUAUAUUAUCGACAGUAUUGAGCGAGGGAACAUUAAAUUCAAAAGAAGACCAUACAAGACGAUCGGUUUUGAUUGUUUCACUAGUAACAGACUGAACAAUCACCAUCCACUCGGUAUCCUUCGAAGAACAGAACGAUCCACAUUCAGUUACAGAGAUAUUACCAGACAAAAUGAAGAGUUUAUCAGCUCUGGUUGUUCCACUUCUUGUUUUUACACUUGUCACCAUUCCACCGCCGUCUCUCCAAAGUCCAGUCCCUCGAAAAUCAGUGGGCAAACCAUGUGUGCUCCAAAUAAAUGUGCGUAAUGGCGUCCUCGUGACAGAAUGUGACUCGGCAUCUUUUGGCUGUUUGAGCAGUAUUCCUACCUACGGUUACCCGAAAUGUCAACCAGUUUAUAGAAUGAUGGAAAUUCCACAAUCUGGAGAGAAAAACAACAUGACUUCCCAUCUGCGAGGAAAGCAAGCCACCAUAGUUGAUUGUAAAUGUGCUUCAUAAGGAAUAAUGACUGGUCAAAACACUGUUAGUAUUAGUCUUGUACCCAAACUUUCCACAUUUCAGUAACAAUUAAACGGU